This 2229-nucleotide ribosomal RNA is filed under the name marine sediment metagenome. RNAcentral's name for it is "bacterial LSU rRNA". It matches the Rfam family "Bacterial large subunit ribosomal RNA", at positions 693 to 2925 of the family's 2925-position model. The record is from RNAcentral.
AAUAUUGUCGUAUGCGGCAGACGCGAAACCAGGUGAUCUACCCAUGAGCAGGUUGAAGCGCGGGUUAAACUGCGUGGAGGACCGAACCCACUUAGGUUGAAAACUGAGGGGAUGACUUGUGGGGAGGACUGAAAGUGUAAUCAAACCAGGAGAUAGCUCGUUCUCUCCGAAAUAUCUUGAGGGAUAGCGUCGAGUAAAUUAGUUACCGGGGGUAGAGAUACUGAAUCGGAUGGGGGCUCUUCCCAGAGUACCCCACCGAACCAAACUCCGAAUACCGGUUAACCUUACCUCGGCAGUCAGUCCCUGGGGGAUAAGCUCCAGGGUCGAGAGGGAAACAACCCAGAUCGCCUGCUAAGGUCCCGAAGGACCACUUAGUCACUAAGGAAGUUGAAAUGCUGUGACAGCUGGGAUGUUGGCUUAGAAGCAGCCACCAUUUAAAAAGUGCGUAACAGCUUACCAGUCGAGCAUUUCUGCGCCGAUAAUGAACGGGAGUAAGUGGUACACCGAAGCAGCGGAUUCUAACCUUUUGGUUAGAGUGGUAGGAGAGCGCCGAUGAUCAGAUACAAGCCGUACGGUAACGAGCGGUGUUGGGGUCAUCGGGUGAUUAUGCCGGAAUGAGUAACGAUAAAACAGGUGAGAAUCCUGUUCGCCGAAAGCCUAAGGUUUCCUGGGGAAGGUAAAUCCGCCCAGGGUUAGCCGGUCCCUUACCCGAGGCUGAAAAGCGUAGGGGAUGGAUAGCAGGUCAAUAUUCCUGCGCCGGUUGUGUAUUCGAUGUGAGGACGGCGUCCAGAAAGUGAGCGGUACGAAUAGAAAUGUCCGUAGCGAAAGCUGAGAGAUUCGGGGUUAAAAUACCGAUGUUUAUCAAGGCUGAGCUCGAGAGCGUUUAAGUUCUCGAAGUCAUUGGAAGGACGUCCAAGAAAAGUCACUAGGUUAAGCAACUGACCGUACUAAAACUGACACAGGUAGGUGAGAAGAGAAUUCUAAGGCGCUCGGGAGAACGGUGGUUAAGGAACUCUGCAAAAUGGCCCCGUACGUUCGCAAUAAGGGGCGCCUUGGUUGGUUUACGCUGACCGAGGCCACAGAAAAUCGGCUCUAACGACUGUUUAUCAAAAACACAGGUCUCUGCUAACACGCAAGUGGAUGUAUAGAGACUGACGCCUGCCCGGUGCUAGUAGGUUAAGGAAGACGGUUAUCCCUUCGGGGAGAAGCUGGCGACCGAAGCCCUAGUAAACGGCGGCCCUAACUAUGAGGGUCCUAAGGUAGCGAAGUUCCUUGUCGGGUAAGUUCCGACCUGCAUGAAAGGCGUAACGAUUUGAGCACUGUCUCAACCACCGACCCGGUGAAAUUGUAGUUGUGGUGAAGAUGCCACAUACCCGCGGUUAGACGGAAAGACCCCGUGAACCUUUACUGUAGGCUGAUAUUGGGUUGAGAUAUGUUCUGUGUAGGAUAGCUGGGAGACUUUGAACCAGUAGCGCUAGCUACCGGGGAGUCGUUGUUGAAAUACCAGCCUGGUCAUAUUUUAAUUCUAACUUUGAUCCCCUGAAUCGGGGCAAAGGACAGUGUCAGUCGGGCAGUUUGACUGGGGCGGUCUCCUCCCAAAGAGUAACGGAGGAGUGCAAAGGUACACUCAGCCUGGACAGCAAUCAGGCAAAGAGCGUAAAGGUAGAAGUGUGCUUGACUGCGAGACGUAUAUGUCGAGCAGGUACGAAAGUAGGCCUUAGUGAUCCGGUAAUCCCGAAUGGAAGGGUUAUCGCUCAUCAGAUAAAAGGUACUCCGGGGAUAACAGGCUUAUCGCAUCCGAGCGUCCAUAGCGGCGAUGCGGUUUGGCACCUCGAUGUCGGCUCAUCACAUCCUGGGGGUGAAGAAGCUCCCAAGGGUUUGGCUGUUCGCCAAUGAAAGUGGUACGUGAGCUGGGUUCAGACCGUCGUGAGACAGGUCGGUCCCUAUCUGCUGUGGGCGUUCGAAACUUGAGGAGGUUCUUCUUUAGUACGAGAGGAUUUAGAAGGACGUAGCUCUGGUGUACCAGUUGUCGCGCUAGCGGCACGGCUGGGUAGCUAACUACGGAAAGGAUAAACGCUGAAAGCAUCUAAGCGUGAAGCCCGCUCUGAGAUUAGGUUUCGUAUGUCUUUUGACGAAAGCCCCCAAGAAGACGACUUGGUUGAUAGGCUGGACGUGUAAGUGCAGUAAUGCAUUAAGCUAACCAGUACUAACGGGCGAAUAUUUGGCCGU